AUGAGGUUGGCACGGGCCCACCUCUCCAGCCUGCCCUGGUCCCUCUGGACGGCAUCCCUUCCCUCUGGUGUCAGCCGCAGCGCUCAGCUUGGUCUCACCUGCAGACUCGCUGAGGGCGCACUCGAUCCCGCUGUCCGUGUCGCCUACAAAGACGUUAAACAGCAGCGGUUCCAACAGCGAUCCCUGAGGAAUGCCUCUCGUCAGCAGGAGGCUCUGCUGCCAGGAGCCCAUCCUGCCAGGCAGGCCCAUCUUCACUUCAGCCUUCUGAAGCAUCUUCUGCCGGUAGUGUCACAGCUGACCUCUGCUGGCAGCCAAAGAAAUCGACCUCCACCCCACCUUCUCCCUCCCGUCCCACUCUAUUCUGUUGUUAGACCAAAGAUGUCAGGGGAGAGCGCGAACGCAGUCCCCCACUACCACAAAUUAUGCAGUCGAGUUUCCCGCAUUUGGGGAAAUCGCAGGGGUCAGCACACCCGGAGUGCAUGGGAUGAGCCUCGCCCUGGGAAAACCACCUGCCUGAUCAUGGUGUCUCCCCUGCCAGGUAAGUAUGCUUUCUGCUCCCGCCGACCCGCUCCCCACGCCAAGCCACCAGCCCGCACCGCGCGGCGACUCACGCCCCGGACACCCGCCCCGUGCCGCGGCUGUGCACCGCUUCCCUUUCCAAGAUUCCCGCACGGAGGCACACGCUGCUCCCAGUGGCUCCACGCGCGUUCCUUUCCUUGUUUAGUGCGCUCCCGUCAUGCCGCGCGCGGAGCGAUCUGCAUAACUGAUCUGCGUACUUACCUGCAUGGCCCUGCCCACCCCACUUUCCGCCCCCAACACGCUCUCACGGGGCGCUGCUUUCCUUGGCCACGCCCCCACUCACCGCCCCUGGCAGCCGGAAUCCAGUCGCCUCGCGCCACCUCUAUGGUACGGUCCCAGUUCCGGUACACCUCCACUUCCGUCCCGCCCCUCUGCUUGCGUUACCCCGUUCGGUGGUUGGGGGCGCUAUGGGUCGGGUGUAAGCGCGUGCUUUCGGUCGGUCAAUGCUUCGGAGCAGCGCUAUUGGGCAGUCCGGCGGGAGGGGGCGGGGCCAUGCAGAUCAGUAUGCAGAUCGCUCCGCGCGCAACAUGCCGGGGCACGCUAAACAAGGAACAGAAUGCUCGUGGAGCCCCGUGA
This 1155-nucleotide long non-coding RNA is filed under the name Meleagris gallopavo (turkey). RNAcentral describes it as "lncRNA (ENSMGAG00000022270.1)". The record is from RNAcentral. Lineage: Eukaryota; Metazoa; Chordata; Aves; Galliformes; Phasianidae.